CUUCAGGAACAUUCCAAGCCUCCAGCUUCUCACAUGGAUGGAGAACUACUGAGAAUUUCCUGAAGUUACUUCUGCACUGCACUGCAAUCUUCUCAAGUGUAUCCUAGAGAGCCUAACAGAAGCCUUACAAAAUCCUCAUCACCUGGAGACGACAGAAAGGAGCUGUGACUCACUGUCAUUCUGAGGGAGACAAUGCAGUUUCAACCAUUUUUAUGCAAGAAACUUCUGAAUUUCCUGAAACUGCAAGACUAAUGAGGUGGGGACUGGAAGAUGGCUCCGCUGAGUAAGGUGCUUGCCACUAAAGCUGGUGACCCGAGUUCGAUCCCUGGGAUACACAUGUUGGAAAGACAAAAUUGACUCUCCCAGGUUGUCCUCUGACUUCUGUGCCCCAA
This is a non-coding RNA of Myodes glareolus (Bank vole), 392 nucleotides long. The record is from RefSeq and is a predicted model, not a curated record. NCBI's taxonomy places the organism in Eukaryota, Metazoa, Chordata, Mammalia, Rodentia, Cricetidae.